This 384-nucleotide ribosomal RNA is filed under the name uncultured bacterium. Its description in RNAcentral is "bacterial SSU rRNA". It matches the Rfam family "Bacterial small subunit ribosomal RNA", at positions 28 to 412 of the family's 1533-position model. The record is from RNAcentral.
GACGAACGCUGGCGGCGUGCUUAACACAUGCAAGUCGAGCGGUAAGGCCCUUUCGGGGGUACGACGAGCGGCGAACGGGUGAGUAACACGUGGGUGACCUGCCCUCAGCUCUGGGAUAAGCCUGGGAAACUGGGUCUAAUACUGGAUAUGACUCCACGGUGCAUGUCGGUGGGGUGGAAAGCCUUGUGCGGCUGAGGAUGGGCCCGCGGCCUAUCAGCUUGUUGGUGGGGUGAGGCCUACCAAGGCGACGACGGGUAGCCGGCCUGAGAGGGCGACCGGCCACACUGGGACUGAGACACGGCCCAGACUCCUACGGGAGGCAGCAGUGGGGAAUCUUGCGCAAUGGGCGAAAGCCUGACGCAGCGACGCCGCGUGAGGGAUGAC